RNAcentral lists this ribosomal RNA (450 nucleotides) under uncultured Glomeromycotina. Its description in RNAcentral is "SSU rRNA". It matches the Rfam family "Eukaryotic small subunit ribosomal RNA", at positions 569 to 1025 of the family's 1831-position model. Lineage: Eukaryota; Fungi; Glomeromycota. The record is from RNAcentral.
AGCAGCCGCGGUAAUUCCAGCUCCAAUAGCGUAUAUUAAAGUUGUUGCAGUUAAAAAGCUCGUAGUUGAAUUUCGGGAUCAAUAUGUUGGUCGUGCCUUUGGUACGUACUGGUAUUAUUGGUUUCUCCUUUCUGAUGAAUCAUGAUGUCAUUAAUUUGGUGUCAUGGGGAAUCAGGACUGUUACCUUGAAAAAAUUGAGUGUUUAAAGCAGGCUUACGCUUGAAUACAUUAGCAUGGAAUAAUGAAAUAGGACGUUUAAUUCUAUUUUGUUGGUUUCUAGGAUUGACGUAAUGAUUAAUAGGGAUAGUUGGGGGCAUUAGUAUUCAAUUGUCAGAGGUGAAAUUCUUGGAUUUAUUGAAGACUAACUACUGCGAAAGCAUUUGCCAAGGAUGUUUUCAUUAAUCAAGAACGAAAGUUAGGGAUCGAAGACGAUCAGAUACCGUCGUAGUC